GACGAACGCUGGCGGCGUGCUUAACACAUGCAAGUCGAACGGACAGGCCCUGCUUUUGUUCGGUGCUCGUGUGGCGAACGGGGGAGUAACACGUGAGUAACAUGUCCCUGACUUUCGGAUAACUUCAGGAAACAGCGGAUCAUAUCGGAUAGGAUCUCCUGCUGCAUGGUGUGGGUUGGAAAGAUUCGGCGGUUGGGGCUGGACUCGCGGCUUCUCGGCUUGUUGGUGGGGUAGUGGCGUACCCAGGCUUUGAGGGGUAGCCGGCAUGAGAGGGUGGCCGGCGACAUUGGGACUGAGAUACGGCCCAGUCUCGAACGGGACGCAACAGUGGAGAGUAUUACACAGUGGGCGGGAGCCAGAUGCGACAACGCCGCGUGCGGGAUGACGGGCUUCGAGUUGAAAACCACUUUCGCCUGUGCCGAAGCGUGAGUGACGGUAAUGGGUAAAGAAGCACCGGCUAACUACGUG
RNAcentral lists this ribosomal RNA (468 nucleotides) under uncultured bacterium. RNAcentral's name for it is "partial 16S ribosomal RNA". It matches the Rfam family "Bacterial small subunit ribosomal RNA", at positions 28 to 507 of the family's 1533-position model. The record is from RNAcentral.